AAGACGCCACAGCAGUGAC
RNAcentral lists this unclassified non-coding RNA (19 nucleotides) under Chlamydomonas reinhardtii. RNAcentral describes it as "small RNA Cre_0093". The record is from RNAcentral. Lineage: Eukaryota; Viridiplantae; Chlorophyta; Chlorophyceae; Chlamydomonadales; Chlamydomonadaceae.